This 242-nucleotide long non-coding RNA is filed under the name Malus domestica (apple). RNAcentral's name for it is "long non-coding RNA (MDOM_LNC020977)". Lineage: Eukaryota; Viridiplantae; Streptophyta; Magnoliopsida; Rosales; Rosaceae. The record is from RNAcentral.
AAGGGAUUGGGAGAUAAUGUGCAGCAGAAAGAGUGUGAAAAGAUAAGACUUCUAGAAACCAAAAAUCCCAAGGGAAAUAGGUAUUAGGUGCGGCAAGGAUCUAGGGUUCUAGAAGAUAAUGCAAGGCAGAUUUUUAGGCUUCUAGAAAGGUUCCUAGGUGUCAUCUUGGUAGGAUAAGAUAAGGUCCUCUAGAAAUCCCAUUUUAAGCAUCCUAAUCUAAUUAGAAACCCUCCUAAGUGGCU